Molecule: microRNA precursor, 103 nt
Organism: Numida meleagris (helmeted guineafowl)
Lineage: Eukaryota; Metazoa; Chordata; Aves; Galliformes; Numididae
Source: Ensembl
UCUUGCCUGAUUCCAGGCUGAGGUAGUAGUUUGUACAGUUUGAGGGUCUAUGAUACCACCCGGUACAGGAGAUAACUGUACAGGCCACUGCCUUGCCUGGGAC